CCCGGGCCUUGUACACACCGCCCGUCACACCAUGGGAGUGGGUUGUACCAGAAGUAGGUAGAAUAACCGCAAGGGGUUCGCUUACCACGGUAUGGUUCAUGACGUGGGGUG
Molecule: ribosomal RNA, 111 nt
Filed under: uncultured bacterium
Lineage: Bacteria
Description: partial 16S ribosomal RNA
Rfam family: Bacterial small subunit ribosomal RNA
Source: RNAcentral